RNAcentral lists this ribosomal RNA (254 nucleotides) under uncultured prokaryote. Its description in RNAcentral is "partial 16S ribosomal RNA". It matches the Rfam family "Bacterial small subunit ribosomal RNA", at positions 525 to 777 of the family's 1533-position model. The record is from RNAcentral.
ACGUAGGGUGCAGGCGUUAAUCGGAAUUACUGGGCGUAAAGCGUGCGCAGGCGGCUCCUUAAGUCAGAUGUGAAAUCCCUCGGCUUAACCGGGGAACUGCGUCUGAUACUGGAUGGCUUGAGUGUAGGAGAGGGAUGCGGAAUUCCAGGUGUAGCGGUGAAAUGCGUAGAUAUCUGGAGGAACACCGGUGGCGAAGGCGGCAUCCUGGACUACUACUGACGCUGAGUGAGCGAAAGCCAGGGGAGCAAACGGGA